UACAGAGGUGGCAAGCGUUGUUCGGAAUUACUGGGCGUAAAGGGCGCGUAGGCGGCCCGUCAAGUCCCGUGUGAAAGCCCCCGGCUCAACCGGGGAACGGCGCGGGAAACUAGCAGGCUUGAGUUCGGGAGAGGGAAGCGGAAUUCCUGGUGUAGCGGUGGAAUGCGCAGAUAUCAGGAGGAACACCGGUGGCGAAGGCGGGAUCCUGGGCCAGUACUGACGCUGAGGAGCGAAAGCGUGGGGAGCAAACAGG
RNAcentral lists this ribosomal RNA (253 nucleotides) under uncultured bacterium. RNAcentral describes it as "partial 16S ribosomal RNA". It matches the Rfam family "Bacterial small subunit ribosomal RNA", at positions 524 to 776 of the family's 1533-position model. The record is from RNAcentral.